CAAGGUUCAAGAACGGAUC
Molecule: small nuclear RNA, 19 nt
Filed under: Arabidopsis thaliana (thale cress)
Lineage: Eukaryota; Viridiplantae; Streptophyta; Magnoliopsida; Brassicales; Brassicaceae
Description: snRNA_11876
Source: RNAcentral